UUGCAGUUAAAGCUCGUAGUCGGAUUUCAGUAGGCUCAGUUAAGUCUCUUCUAUUGAGUUCUUUAUGGGCCUGCUUCUUUGACAGAAACUUCUAUGUUAUUCAUUUAGCGUGGGUAGCGACUGUCUCUUUUACUUUGAGAAAAUUAGAGUGUUCAAAGCAGGUAUUCGCCUGAAUAUUACUCUUGGAAUAAUGCUAUAAGACUUUGGUUCUAAUGUAUUGGUGAUUGGGACCAGAGUAAUGAUUGAUAGGGACGGUUGGGGUCUUACGUACUGCAAAGCGAGAGGUGAAAUUCUUGGACCUUUGUAUGACGAACAACUGCGAAAGCAUUGGACUAGGACGUUCCCGUUGAUCAAGAACGAAAGUUGGGGGAUCGAAGACGAUCAGAUACCGUCGUAGUCUCAACCAUAAACUAUGCCAGCUAGGGAUCGGAGGACGUUACAUGUUCGACUCCUUCGGCACCUUAUGAGAAAUCAAAGCAUUUGGGUUCCGGGGGGAGUAUGGUCGCAAGGCUGAAACUUAAAGGAAUUGACGGGAGGGCACCACCAGGAGUGGAGCCUGUGGCUUAAUUUGACUCAACACGGGAAAACUUACCAGGUCCGGACAUAGUAAGGAUUGACAGAUUGAAAGCUCUUUCUUGAUUCUAUGGGUGGUGGUGCAUGGCCGUUCUUAGUUGGUGGAGUGAUUUGUCUGGUUAAUUCCGUUAACGAACGAGACCUCAGCCUGCUAAAUAGUACGGCCCUAUUCUUAGGGUCGCGACUUCUUAGAGGGACUAUGUGCGUUUAGCACAUGGAAAGUUUGAGGCAAUAACAGGUCUGUGAUGCCCUUUAGAUGUUCUGGGCCGCACGCGCGCUACACCGACGACUCAACGAGCUUA
RNAcentral lists this ribosomal RNA (875 nucleotides) under uncultured acantharean. RNAcentral describes it as "SSU rRNA". It matches the Rfam family "Eukaryotic small subunit ribosomal RNA", at positions 613 to 1523 of the family's 1831-position model. The record is from RNAcentral. Lineage: Eukaryota; Acantharea.